GGAUUACUCCUUUACGCUUUCGCGUUUGGUUGAUAAAGAUUCGCACCUCUAUCAAACCGGGUAAUCCCACCUCUUGGCAAGACCUGCUGUCAGAUCAAAUCUGAACUACUACAGAUUAUUGUUUAGUUUAUGUGCAACUGAUCUAUUGAACGCUAAAAAUGAUCAGGCUAUUUUUGCUUUGUAG
RNAcentral lists this small RNA (184 nucleotides) under Nitrosomonas europaea ATCC 19718. Its description in RNAcentral is "Proteobacterial sRNA psRNA2". It matches the Rfam family "Proteobacterial sRNA psRNA2". The record is from Rfam by way of RNAcentral. Lineage: Bacteria; Pseudomonadati; Pseudomonadota; Betaproteobacteria; Nitrosomonadales; Nitrosomonadaceae.